UAUAUGUUGUGUAGAAAUCACUCAAGUCUGCUUUUUAUUGUGGAAGCUCGUUGUAUGUGUAAAAUUAUUUAUACUCUUGGUCCCGGCGCACGGAGCCUACAAGACGCCGAAUGUUCCUGCUUCUGCUUACCAAGCAGGAAAACACCAGAAUAAGUUUAACUUGGGGAAGAGCAUGAAGAUUGGCGAGAGGUGGGGUACCAGAAAGAGGCGACGUUAAAAUCGGUGCCAGUGACGACGACGGUGGACACGAUGAGCUUGGCGACAGCGGCUGCCGCAACAUUGUUGUACUUGGAGCCCACGCUAUCCGAGCUUGACAA
Triticum aestivum (bread wheat) is the source of this 317-nucleotide long non-coding RNA. RefSeq lists it as uncharacterized. The transcript is spliced from 3 exons. NCBI's taxonomy places the organism in Eukaryota, Viridiplantae, Streptophyta, Magnoliopsida, Poales, Poaceae. The record is from RefSeq and is a predicted model, not a curated record.